This is a non-coding RNA of Nothobranchius furzeri (turquoise killifish), 1362 nucleotides long. The record is from RefSeq and is a predicted model, not a curated record. Lineage: Eukaryota; Metazoa; Chordata; Actinopteri; Cyprinodontiformes; Nothobranchiidae.
AGAAUUUUUGUCAUUUUGAAUAAAUUUUAGCCAAUGGCUAAAGAGUAAAGUACUACGUAAACCAGUAGAGUACUACGUAGCAGCUCCGUGCCAAAGUUAUAAAAGCAACGAGCGUCUCGGCCACGCCCUGUGGCGAGUGGGAGUUGGAUUUGCAAGCGAGCAUAGGAGGUCAGCGGUAGUUCAGCAUUAGCAUAUAGCAUUAGCAUAUCCUAGUCUUAGCAUAUCUUUUAGUGUUAUAAAUACUUAUUUAGUGUUAGAUUUGGCUGUUGGAUAUUGUAGUUGAGUUAGUGUUUGGCUGUUAGUGUAAUUGGGAAAGUAUUUCUGGUUUAGUGUUCCAUAUCGUCUUAGUAUUGGUGAGUAGGUGUAGUGUAGUAUGCUUGCGGUGACUCUGUGGGCAUUUUACCCGCGAUUCUGCGCGCCUCCGUUUGAAGAGGGAGGCUGCCCACCGUGGCUCUUCCGCGAUUUAGAUGCAGCCCACCGACUCUGCUCCCCCACCACGGCGGGCUCCAGUCUGAGGUGAGUCAGCUAAAUAAACGUUUUAACAUCUUCUAAAGACAAUUCCCUACCUAAAUGCAAAGUCUGAGAGACGUGGUUCACUUCCUUUAGCUAGUCAGUCGGCAAUUCUGCAACAGUGUCUCUAACUAACGCUGCACUAGUUGACAGACAGCAUUACAGCGUGAAAUCCAGCUUGUGAACAGGUUCUGUAAGGAAUUCUGUUCAGGAGGUCGCAUUUCAGGCUCUCCACAUCAUAUGUGAUGGACUUUUACGUUAUAACAACGAUCACACACUAGGAAUGUUAUAAAGCGCCUAUAUAGGAGAUUCUUUUAUAUAUUAUCUGACUUUAUAAACUCCAACAACAAUGUGCUUCUAUUUUUUUUUUCAGGCUAAAUCUACCCAAGACACUGGCUGUCAGACUGAUUUAGCUGCAUGAAUGUACUUGUCCAGGCUGAUGUGAAACCUUCCCUGUAGCAAAGCCAUCCAGUUUAGAGCUCACAGCCGCAGUGUGUCUGGUGACCCACAGGGACCAUGAUGAAAAUUCAUCUUCCAGAAGGUCCCAGAGCGUCCAGACCCCCUGAAAAGACCAAGAUGUGAGGUGUCUGCUGUUGAUUCCAGCUUCCACCUCAGUGACAGUGCAAGCUCAGUGAACUGUUCAAGCCUGGCUGAUCACCUGAUAACCCCUGUCAUCUGGUUAUGACAGCAUGAGGAUGUCCUCACACACCUGUAACCUAUCAGCUCAUCCUGCUGAAUAGAGAGAGAAGAGACCACACCACAUCUCCUGUUCCUGGAAAGCCUUCAGCCAUCCUUCGAUGACUGAGAACCUCCAUCAGCUCUGUCUCCUGUCUGCCUACAAUUAUAAUAAAU